RNAcentral lists this ribosomal RNA (427 nucleotides) under uncultured bacterium. RNAcentral's name for it is "bacterial SSU rRNA". It matches the Rfam family "Bacterial small subunit ribosomal RNA", at positions 355 to 774 of the family's 1533-position model. The record is from RNAcentral.
UGGGGAAUUUUGGACAAUGGGCGCAAGCCUGAUCCAGCAAUGCCGCGUGCAGGAUGAAGGCCUUCGGGUUGUAAACUGCUUCUGUACGGAACGAAAAGGCUCUGGUUAAUACCUGGGGCUCAUGACGGUACCGUAAGAAUAAGCACCGGCUAACUACGUGCCAGCAGCCGCGGUAAUACGUAGGGUGCAAGCGUUAAUCGGAAUUACUGGGCGUAAAGCGUGCGCAGGCGGUUAUGCAAGACAGAGGUGAAAUCCCCGGGCUCAACCUGGGAACUGCCUUUGUGACUGCAUAGCUAGAGUACGGUAGAGGGGGAUGGAAUUCCGCGUGUAGCAGUGAAAUGCGUAGAUAUGCGGAGGAACACCGAUGGCGAAGGCAAUCCCCUGGGCCUGUACUGACGCUCAUGCACGAAAGCGUGGGGAGCAAACA